This is a long non-coding RNA of Oncorhynchus tshawytscha (Chinook salmon), 1123 nucleotides long. The record is from Ensembl. Lineage: Eukaryota; Metazoa; Chordata; Actinopteri; Salmoniformes; Salmonidae.
CUGUACAGAGAAUUCUGUGCAAGAGACGAGACAUCAACGUUUCUGAUCCAGGCGAAAUCAUGCAACAAUAUUUUAUUGUCAUGGGAUAGCCAUAAUCCAAGUACAUGUCUAAUGUGAAAACAGAGGAAAGAGCUUGAUGCCCUUCCAGCUGUAGAGUUUGUGGCUUCGGUUGGCUAGCUCAGUGAGAAGAAGUUAGCCAGCCGGCAGAGCAACCAAUUUUAUGAUUUAUUUGUAUUAUUAUUUUUAUUAGCCAUAGAAACCAAAUGUUUUUGCAUAGAUGAACGUAUUGUUUUUAUUUAUUUUUAGUUUUCGUCCUCUGAUAGAUGAAAUAGUAUAAAUGUAUUUAUUAAAACGGCAGAACGCAUCACAAGCGUAUGUAAGUUAAGUGAAUGUGCAGCUUUUGUGAUUGGACAGUAAAGAUUCUAUGCGUUGUUCUAAAAUCUCCCAUAGCCCAGGCCUGACGAGGCUCUUAGCCCUGGGCUAAGGUUGGUGUGAAUAUUUGCUUAGGCCUGGGCUAAAAAUCUCCCAUAGCCCAGGCCUGACGAGGCUCUUAGCCCUGGGCUAAGGUUGGUGUGAAUAUUCGCUUAGGCCUGGGCUAAAAUCUCCCAUAGCCCAGGCCUGACGAGGCUCUUAGCCCUGGGCUAAGGUUGGUGUGAAUAUUCGCUUAGGCCUGGGCUAAAAUCUCCCAUAGCCCAGGCCUGACGAGGCUCUUAGCCCUGGGCUAAGGUGCAGUGUGAAUGCAUCUUUUCUAUGUGAAAGUUGGAACAAGUGUGUGUUCUUUCAAUCACAAAAUCUCCUUUUGUCAUUAAAGAUUUUUUUUUUCUCUCAACUAUCUCAGUCAUUGUUUCUCCUCUUUUUUGCCUUGUUCUGUCUGUUUCUAUAUAUUGUUAUUCUGCCUCCUCACUGAUACAAUAUUUUUUUAAAGUAUUUAAAAAAAGGCUCUUCCUAAGUUUCCUGUACGUUUCUAGCUAUGACAUGACAAGAAGUGUUAUAAGGCAGUAUUAGUAAAGCCACAUUACUACCGGAGGUGUUUUAUAAGGCUUUGUUUAUAACGUGUGUUCAGUACAAAAUAUAAUCCAACUCCUCAUGCCUUUUUUUUAAAAGGUUUGAUGCAUAUUAAAAU